CCUACGGGUGGCAGCAGUGAGGAAUAUUGGGCAAUGGACGGAAGUCGGAACCAGCCAGGCCGCGGGCAGGAAGACGGCGCGAUGAGGUGUAAACUGCUUUUGUACAAGGGUAAACCUGAAUACGUGUAUUCAGCUGAAAGUACGGUACGAAUAAGGAUCGGCUAACUCCGUGCCAGCAGCCGCGGUAAUACGGAGGAUCCAAGCGUUAUCCGGAUUUAUUGGGUUUAAAGGGUGCGUAGGCGGAUUGAUAAGUUAGAGGUGAAAUGUCCGAGCUUAACUCGGGAACUGCCUCUAAUACUGUUGAUCUAUAGCGUAGCUGCGGUAGGCGGAAUGUUUGGUGUAGCGGUGCAAUGCUUAGAGCUCCUACAGAACCCCGAUUGCGAAGGCAGCUUACCAGUCUAUAUCUGACGUUGAGGCACGAAAGCGUGGGGAGCAAACAGGAUUAGAUACCCCUGUAGUC
RNAcentral lists this ribosomal RNA (460 nucleotides) under uncultured bacterium. Its description in RNAcentral is "partial 16S ribosomal RNA". It matches the Rfam family "Bacterial small subunit ribosomal RNA", at positions 338 to 795 of the family's 1533-position model. The record is from RNAcentral.